GGCACCAUAGCUCAGUGGCUAGAGCACUGAUCUCGUAAACCAAGUGUUGUGAGUUCGAACCUCAUUGGUGGCU
This 73-nucleotide transfer RNA is filed under the name Trichonephila inaurata madagascariensis. It matches the Rfam family "tRNA". Rfam says of the family: Transfer RNA (tRNA) molecules are approximately 80 nucleotides in length. Their secondary structure includes four short double-helical elements and three loops (D, anti-codon, and T loops). Lineage: Eukaryota; Metazoa; Arthropoda; Arachnida; Araneae; Nephilidae. The record is from Rfam by way of RNAcentral.